RNAcentral lists this ribosomal RNA (253 nucleotides) under uncultured bacterium. RNAcentral describes it as "partial 16S ribosomal RNA". It matches the Rfam family "Bacterial small subunit ribosomal RNA", at positions 524 to 776 of the family's 1533-position model. The record is from RNAcentral.
UACGUAGGCAGCAAGCGUUGUUCGGAGUUACUGGGCGUAAAGGGCUCGUAGGCGGCCAACUAAGUCAGACGUGAAAUCCCUCGGCUUAACCGGGGAACUGCGUCUGAUACUGGAUGGCUUGAGUUCGGGAGAGGGAUGCGGAAUUCCAGGUGUAGCGGUGAAAUGCGUAGAUAUCUGGAGGAACACCGGUGGCGAAGGCGGGUCUCUGGGCCGAUACUGACGCUGAGGAGCGAAAGCGUGGGGAGCGAACAGG